GCUGACGAGUGGCGGACGGGUGAGUAAUGUCUGGGAAACUGCCUGAUGGAGGGGGAUAACUACUGGAAACGGUGGCUAAUACCGCAUAACGUCGCAAGACCAAAGAGGGGGACCUUCGGGCCUCUUGCCAUCAGAUGUGCCCAGAUGGGAUUAGCUGGUUGGUGAGGUAACGGCUCACCAAGGCGACGAUCCCUAGCUGGUCUGAGAGGAUGACCAGCCACACUGGAACUGAGACACGGUCCAGACUCCUACGGGAGGCAGCAGUGGGGAAUAUUGCACAAUGGGCGCAAGCCUGAUGCAGCCAUGCCGCGUGUAUGAAGAAGGCCUUCGGGUUGUAAAGUACUUUCAGCGGGGAGGAAGGUGUUGUGGUUAAUAACCGCAGCAAUUGACGUUACCCGCAGAAGAAGCACCGGCUAACUCCGUGCCAGCAGCCGCGGUAAUACGGAGGGUGCAAGCGUUAAUCGGAAUUACUGGGCGUAAAGCGCACGCAGGCGGUCUGUCAAGUCGGAUGUGAAAUCCCCGGGCUCAACCUGGGAACUGCAUUCGAAACUGGCAGGCUUGAGUCUUGUAGAGGGGGGUAGAAUUCCAGGUGUAGCGGUGAAAUGCGUAGAGAUCUGGAGGAAUACCGGUGGCGAAGGCGGCCCCCUGGACAAAGACUGACGCUCAGGUGCGAAAGCGUGGGGAGCAAACAGGAUUAGAUACCCUGGUAGUCCACGCCGUAAACGAUGUCUACUUGGAGGUUGUGCCCUUGAGGCGUGGCUUCCGGAGCUAACGCGUUAAGUAGACCGCCUGGGGAGUACGGCCGCAAGGUUAAAACUCAAAUGAAUUGACGGGGGCCCGCACAAGCGGUGGAGCAUGUGGUUUAAUUCGAUGCAACGCGAAGAACCUUACCUGGUCUUGACAUCCACGGAAGUUUUCAGAGAUGAGAAUGUGCCUUCGGGAACCGUGAGACAGGUGCUGCAUGGCUGUCGUCAGCUCGUGUUGUGAAAUGUUGGGUUAAGUCCCGCAACGAGCGCAACCCUUAUCCUUUGUUGCCAGCGGUCCGGCCGGGAACUCAAAGGAGACUGCCAGUGAUAAACUGGAGGAAGGUGGGGAUGACGUCAAGUCAUCAUGGCCCUUACGACCAGGGCUACACACGUGCUACAAUGGCGCAUACAAAGAGAAGCGACCUCGCGAGAGCAAGCGGACCUCAUAAAGUGCGUCGUAGUCCGGAUUGGAGUCUGCAACUCGACUCCAUGAAGUCGGAAUCGCUAGUAAUCGUGGAUCAGAAUGCCACGGUGAAUACGUUCCCGGGCCUUGUACACACCGCCCGUCACACCAUGGGAGUGGGUUGCAAAAGAAGUAGGUAGCUUAACCUUCGGGAGGGCGCUUACCACUUUGUGAUUCAUGACUGGGGUGAAGUCGUAACAAGGUAACCGUAGGGGAACCUGCGGUUGGAUCACCUCCUUA
RNAcentral lists this ribosomal RNA (1449 nucleotides) under Salmonella enterica subsp. enterica serovar Cerro. Its description in RNAcentral is "bacterial SSU rRNA". It matches the Rfam family "Bacterial small subunit ribosomal RNA". The record is from RNAcentral. Lineage: Bacteria; Pseudomonadati; Pseudomonadota; Gammaproteobacteria; Enterobacterales; Enterobacteriaceae.